GUCCCUUCGGAGACAUCCGAUAAAAUUGGAACGAUACAGAGAAGAUUAGCAUGGCCUGGGCAAGGAUGACACGCACAAAUCGAGAAAUGGUCCAAAUUCUU
Small nuclear RNA from Coffea eugenioides, 101 nucleotides. Lineage: Eukaryota; Viridiplantae; Streptophyta; Magnoliopsida; Gentianales; Rubiaceae. The record is from RefSeq and is a predicted model, not a curated record.